ACAAACCCCUAACCCUCGGCUAUCCAUUAACAAAUCCAAUUGUUUAUUGAUAACAAAUUAUUUUUGUCAAAACGUUUGAAUCGGGUGAUAAUUUUGUCUACAUUUGCCAUCGUUAGGAAAUGUCAAUGGCUUUCAAACUGAUUUGCCCAGUAAAGUGUCAAGACAAGCUUGGGAAGAUGCAUUUAUGAAUGCCUACCUUAAUCCUGUUCUAUCGGUUGUUUCUCAGUUAUUGAAAGAUGCUUUAGGUAGAAUGGUCAGCGAUGAAAGACUGGGAAAUAAUCGGCUAAUGAAAUUGAUCAACGAAUUAGAUGAACC
Molecule: long non-coding RNA, 315 nt
Organism: Xenia sp. Carnegie-2017
Lineage: Eukaryota; Metazoa; Cnidaria; Anthozoa; Malacalcyonacea; Xeniidae
Exons: 3
Source: RefSeq, a predicted model, not a curated record